RNAcentral lists this ribosomal RNA (469 nucleotides) under uncultured bacterium. RNAcentral's name for it is "bacterial SSU rRNA". It matches the Rfam family "Bacterial small subunit ribosomal RNA", at positions 40 to 526 of the family's 1533-position model. The record is from RNAcentral.
CCGCCGCCGUAACACAUGCAAGUCGAGCGAGGGAAACUCUUCGGAGUGGAACUAGCGGCGGACGGGUGAGUAACACGUGGGCAACCUGCCUCGUAGAGGGGAAUAGCCUUUCGAAAGGAAGAUUAAUACCCCAUAAGAUUGUAGUUCCGCAUGGAAUAGCAAUUAAAGGAGUAAUCCGCUACGAGAUGGGCCCGCGUCGCAUUAGCUAGUUGGUAAGGUAAUGGCUUACCAAGGCGACGAUGCGUAGCCGACCUGAGAGGGUGAUCGGCCACAUUGGGACUGAGACACGGCCCAGACUCCUACGGGAGGCAGCAGUGGGGAAUAUUGCACAAUGGGGGAAACCCUGAUGCAGCAACGCCGCGUGAGUGAUGACGGUCUUCGGAUUGUAAAGCUCUGUCUUCAGGGACGAUAAUGACGGUACCUGAGGAGGAAGCCACGGCUAACUACGUGCCAGCCGCCGCAGUAAGAC